GCCACAACCAAAACAAAAGACAACGAUGAAGGUGACGAGAAAGACACUUUCUGGGGCGAGGUGUGUCAGGAGCUUGGAAUAUCCGAUUCCAAGACCAAUAGGACACGGCUUCAUCAUGCCUAUAAUCAUCAUAAAAAGAUGAGACACAAGACACAGAUGGUGACCGCAGCACCUGCCAGCCCAUCGACAGACAGUGACCACACGGCCUGCCCCAUCGACAGUGACCACAGUUCCACUGACAUUGACCGCACAGUGCCUGCUACCCCAUCGUCGGUUAGACAGGCAUUCACAGAGACGAGUGAACCAGAAGACGUUUCAGAGUGUAAUUCAUCAGGGACAUAUGACUCCUCAUCACACUCAAAAGAUGGGCAACUCUUACACUCAUUUAAAUUGCCUUCAAAUCCUUCAUUUUUUUUUGUCACUAAAAGUGACUGGAAGAAACUGAGGAUGAGACAACAUAAGCGUCGAUUCAAAUCUUUAAACUGGAC
This is a long non-coding RNA of Gymnodraco acuticeps, 488 nucleotides long. RefSeq lists it as uncharacterized. The record is from RefSeq and is a predicted model, not a curated record. Lineage: Eukaryota; Metazoa; Chordata; Actinopteri; Perciformes; Bathydraconidae. The transcript has 3 exons.